UGUGUGUGUGUGUGUACGCACGCACGCACUUCGGAUGGGGUAAAUGCAGAGCACGAUUUCUGAGUAUGGGUCACCAUACUUGGCUGAAUGUCAUGUCACUUUCACUAUUGUUAGCUAAAACAUGAACAUUAGAAAUAAACCAGAUUGUCAUAAUCACUUAAAUUUAAGCAUAUUUAUUAUUAAAUAUAAUAAUAAAUUGUUGAAUUCCUUUCAGUUUUACAACAGACAGCUAUUAUUUGCUGAUACCAUAUAAAAAUAAGAAUAUAAGAACAAUAAAAAUAUAAGAUCAUGGCAUUAAAAAGUAAAAAAAAAACAAAAAAAAAACAGACUUGCUGUAUGAGGCCUCAUUUUGGUUUGGAUGCUGCCUAUGUAGGCAGUAGAUUAUGAUUAUAAUACACUAGAGCUUUAUAAUUGGCUAUUUGGCUGUGGUCCGAAUCAUCUGUCUGUUCUAUUGAAACUGAUGUGAACUGUAGGAUCUGCUAACCUGUUUGUUUGCAGUGUUUAUUCCUGUAUGUGUUGUUGACUUAGCACCGUGACCUGACAAGCUCACAACACUCCCAAUAUGGCCCAUCUGGAUGUAAACACUGUAGCUCAAUACAUCUCUGUGUCUCAGUGGCAUUUCCUCUAAAUGAGCCGCUUUGAGUACCCAUAUGUUGCCCGGACACUAAUUUGCUAAAUAUAAAGAGCGAGAAGACGGGAGGCAGGCCUCUGUUAUCUGUGUUUGGCACAAGCCUGGUCCUGUUAAUGGCCGUCCAUGUUGCCUGGUGUUUGUGUGGAUGUUUCUAACCUAGCAACACUUCCAGUGGUUAUCUGAAGGUUACUGUGUGUGGAGGCCGUUCAAGCAUUUAAUUGCUUACAAAAGGUUGAGUGUUAUUUUGCUGGAGACACUCUCAGGUUUGUCAUGAGCUUUAGAUGAAACUUGAUGAAAUCCAUAUGGCAAUACCUCACUUUACAUAAGCGAAGUUAUCAUUUUCUACUUUUCAAACAUACUGUAGAUAUGAGUGUUUGUGGUUGUGAAACCCGUUAUUUUAAACUGUAAUAAAAUGUCAUGCUAUAGAGUGUUUUGUACCAUAGUAUAUUGUGUCAUGUUUACCAUGCAUACAGUAUAAUGUUUCACAGUAUAAAAUGCCAUGUUUGCUAAAACUUGAUGUGGUGUACAUUUUUCUUUCAGGCUCAGACGGUUGGGAUAAAAUCUCUGGAUGAUCAGGAGUAUCAUAUGGAAAAGCCCUUUAUGAUGGCCAUCGACGAACACUUAAAAAAACCCUUACCUUCGAUUCAACUCCCCCACACCAAAAUCUAAUCCGCAACGACCUACAUUAGUAGACUGUCAAAGGGGUGAAGAUGAAGUCAUCUAAAACCCAAACUAGUCAGUGGAUGAUGGUCCUGCCCUCAGUCUUCAGUCUCUGAGCUCCAUUUCCUGUUCAGCUCCACUGAUCCUGCCCAACCGCAGCAGCCUGGCUCUCCAGUGUGAGGUUACCUCAUUCCCAUGGCCAUCCCUUUAGGCCGCCGAAGAACUGCAUCCUGGUGAAGAUCAGGAGGAAAAUAUCUUUCCCAGAACCAGUUUCUCAGCUGAAGCCGACAUCAGCCAGGCACGGAUCAUCGCCAGCUCCUAAAAUGUCAUUCCUCUAAGUCUCCAGUGCCUCAGCUUUGGCUCGGUCAGUUCUGAUGGAACCAUAAACUUCAAACGGGCUCAGCGCCCGACUGGCAGAAUGCAUUUCUCUCUCUUUUUCCUCUGGCGGCCGGCCACUGGAAGUGAGCUAAUCGCUCCUUACACAGACCUCCCUGAGUCCUGGCCAAAGGAAUCUGAACAUUAUCCAAACCAAUGACCGAAAUGUUGAAAGCUGGCUCGCGGAUCCAGAGAUGGAAUUAUACAAGACAAACAUCCCCCUUUCUCUCCAGCCACCCUUUCUGUUAAGACUGUAAUGACCGCUGUGAAACUGCACACAGACUAACAUAUGUUUGUCAUUACCGCACAGUACACGGUGUGCGUUUUAUUUGCUGUCAUUUGUGUUGAAAAUGCAAUGUCUGAUCCAGUAAGCUGUCAGGGAUAUUUUUGCUGUAAUGGAUUGUCAGUAAGUCUCUCAGAAAGCCAUAUGUUUUAGUAUAAAUAUCAUAAAACCGUUGAGACUCUGAAUUCAGGAAACAAACAGUGUACUUCCAGACUCUCCUAUGGAGCUCAACGGGCAGCCGUCUCCUCCAGCUGCUCGGUAUCACGGCCUGGCGUUUCCUCCACAGCCUUCCCAGUGCACCCCUCUGACCGAGCACCAUCCGGCAGAGAGAAACCCUGGAGAACAGGCUGGUAGAUUGGUUGGAGCAACAGCUCAUGGCCAGAAUGAUCACUGGAAUAUUCCCUCAGCCCGUCCAGACUGAUCCAGCAGCCAGCCAAUCAGAGACAGAGAAUAGUGUGACAUCAGGCAUUGCUGAGAAUGGUUUAUUUCUAUGUUUA
Molecule: long non-coding RNA, 2446 nt
Organism: Carassius auratus (goldfish)
Lineage: Eukaryota; Metazoa; Chordata; Actinopteri; Cypriniformes; Cyprinidae
Exons: 5
Source: RefSeq, a predicted model, not a curated record